AUUCUAGUGAAUGAUGUUGAACUUUUUUCCCCGUCAUAUCGAUCAUGGUGACUAAAGAAAUUUAAGCCAAAUUAUUCUGAUGCUAGAGC
Molecule: small nucleolar RNA, 89 nt
Organism: Callorhinchus milii (elephant shark)
Lineage: Eukaryota; Metazoa; Chordata; Chondrichthyes; Chimaeriformes; Callorhinchidae
Source: Ensembl